CGCGGCCUAUCAGCUUGUUGGUGAGGUAAUGGCUCACCAAGGCGACGACGGGUAGCCGGCCUGAGAGGGCGACCGGCCACACUGGGACUGAGACACGGCCCAGACUCCUACGGGAGGCAGCAGUGGGGAAUAUUGGGCAAUGGAGGAAACUCUGACCCAGCGACGCCGCGUGCGGGAUGAAGGCCUUCGGGUUGUAAACCGCUUUCAGCAGGGAAGAAGCGAAAGUGACGGUACCUGCAGAAGAAGCACCGGCUAACUAUGUGCCAGCAGCCGCGGUAAUACAUAGGGUGCAAGCGUUGUCCGGAAUUAUUGGGCGUAAAGAGCUCGUAGGUGGUUCGUAACGUCGGAUGUGAAAAUCUGGGGCUCAACCCCAGACCUGCAUUCGAUACGGGCGAACUAGAGUGUGGUAGGGGAGACUGGAAUUCCUGGUGUAGCGGUGGAAUGCGCAGAUAUCAGGAGGAACACCAAUGGCGAAGGCAGGUCUCUGGGCCAUUACUGACACUGAGGAGCGAAAGCGUGGGGAGCGAACAGGAUUAGAUACCCUGGUAGUCCACGCCGUAAACGGUGGGCACUAGUUGUGGGAACCUUCCACGGUUUCUGCGACGCAGCUAACGCAUUAAGUGCCCCGCCUGGGGAGUACGG
This 642-nucleotide ribosomal RNA is filed under the name uncultured bacterium. RNAcentral describes it as "bacterial SSU rRNA". It matches the Rfam family "Bacterial small subunit ribosomal RNA", at positions 232 to 885 of the family's 1533-position model. The record is from RNAcentral.